GACGAACGGCUGGCGGCGUGCCUCAAACAUGCAAGUCGAGCGGGGAACUUUUAAAAGCGCAAGCUUUUAAAAGUUCCUAGCGGCGAACGGGUGAGUAACACGUGGGCAACCUACCCAGAAGACCGGGAUAACGGCUCGAAAGGGCCGCUAAUACCGGAUAAUGUCGGGGUACCGCAUGGUACUCCGAAGAAAGGGGAAACCCGCUUUUGGAUGGGCCCGCGUCCCAUCAGCUAGUUGGUGAGGUAACGGCUCACCAAGGCGACGACGGGUAGCCGGUCUGAGAGGAUGGUCGGCCACACUGGGACUGAGACACGGCCCAGACUCCUACGGGAGGCAGCAGUUGGGAAUCUUGGGCAAUGGGCGAAAGCCUGACCCAGCGACGCCGCGUGAGGGAAGAAGGCCUUCGGGUCGUAAACCUCUGUCAUGGGGGAAGAAGCAAGUGACGGUACCCCAAGAGGAAGCCCCUGCUAACUACGUG
Molecule: ribosomal RNA, 478 nt
Filed under: uncultured bacterium
Lineage: Bacteria
Description: bacterial SSU rRNA
Rfam family: Bacterial small subunit ribosomal RNA
Source: RNAcentral